Molecule: non-coding RNA, 7432 nt
Organism: Tetranychus urticae (two-spotted spider mite)
Lineage: Eukaryota; Metazoa; Arthropoda; Arachnida; Trombidiformes; Tetranychidae
Source: RefSeq, a predicted model, not a curated record
CAUUUUCUGAUUUAUCAUCAAUAAUUACAUCAGCGAAAUGAGUUUCACGAAAAAAUCUGCUUACAUAAUUGUACAAAAGGCAAUCAAAGUUUCAAAUUCGAACUCGAUUUUCUCAAAAACUGUCGGCCAGAGAAACUUCAAAAUCGCAGGAUUGAAUUCAGCUUUUAUGUCUCUACAAACCAACAGAGUCUAAACUUCAUUACUUACAUGUUUGAGUCUUUUGUAGCACUUUUUGUUUUACAUUUGCAAGCUUAACCAGAAAAUUGAUUUAUUUACCAAGAAAUGGGUUAGAAUGAGUUUGUUUUGUUGAAUAAGUUGUUACUCGGGUUAAUCAUGACACAAAUAAACUAAUGGUCAUUUGUUUGAGUGCAUUGAAUUUUCAAUUAGUAAAAGGUUUAAGUUGGUGAGAGAAUGCUGACUGUAGAUGGCUCGCGAUGGCCACACUUGAAAAUUGACUUAACUCUGAUCUGUAUUUGUUAACUUAGCCCUAACACUUACUGUCAAUAUUCAAAAAGCUGCUGAUUAUGUUCAAAGUCAUUGUAUAAGUUUAAUACGUUUACAAUGAAAAGUUUUGAUAGAAAUUUAAUUUUCAGGGUUUUUAAAUUUAAAUUAAUUUUUAAAUAACACGGAUUAGUCACAGUCGCUUGUAGUGAGUGAAUGAAAUUAAAUUUACGUUGGUGCAACAACGUAAAUGACUAAUUAGGAAGAAUAUCAAAGUUUAAAUUUAAAAAAUUUGCUUCUUCUUUAAAUUUAAAAGAUAAAAUUUCCCCGAAUUGGAUCCACUUCAUAUGGAUGAUUGUUCUUGAUUUUACCAAAAAAGCCUUUCCCAUUAAAUUAUCGUUUAAUUUGGUCGAGAUGUUCGAAUAGAGAAAAAUUAAGGAACAAUAAUCAUGUAAAAACACCAAUUACUUGGGAUAAUUGAUUGAAGGUUUUAAUUGCAAAUUAAUUUACUAAAUUCCCGCUGUUGGAUUAAAAGUUUUAUUUCAAUUUUUAAAAGCUAAAAACUGGUUUCAUGAAAAUGCUACGAAAUUGAAUUUAUUUAUGGCGAUGGACCAAAGUGCCAUAAAACAAUGAAAAAAUUGUAUCCUGCAAGCAUUCAUCAGCUUGAAGUUAAUGAAUCACAAGGGGACAAGAAAAAACAGAUUUAUUUGUGAAUAUGAUUCCUGUGGAUGUCUUUUGACAACAAAACUAAGGUAAUCAACCAUUUGGAAAAAAAGUUCACAAUUUCGUGUUCGAUUUGUGGACACAUAACCCAAACAAUAGAGUUAUUGCGAAAACAUUUAGGUGCAAGAAAAGAUUUCACUGCGACACAUUUGGAAGUUAAAUUUAAAGUUUUACAGAAACUCUUAAAGCGGUUCAAAAACAGACGGUCAGUGUUAUUCCGGUCGAUUUUAAAAAAUUCAAUUUCUACUCCGAUUUUGAUUGCAAAAACUUUUUAAUCCCGAUAAGUUAGAAUAAUUUCUCAACUGGAGAAUUAAAUUUAAAUUGGAAUUCUGUUCAACAGGCGAUAUCACAAAUUCCGUCUUCAGUAACCAAAUGUCCUAUCCAGCUUUAUAGCACUUGGAAAACCAGAAAAUUUAAUUUUAAUUUAUUGAACUUUUUCAAGUGUCAAGCCAGGCUUAAUGCAAUUUUAAUAAAAACUUGAAAUAUUUAGUAGUCCAAGACACUUUAACGAGCAUUAUGAGUGUAAAACAUUUGGAACCAAAUGCUAGAAAAAAAGUUAAUGCAGUUCAAGAGCUUCAAAUUACGAUAAACUGAGAUCAGUUCUCAGAGACUACGAUUAAGUUGUGAGUAAAUUCAUGCGAUAAUCAAGGUUUUUUCUCCUAUUUCUGUUUCAUCACUGAGGAAACCAAAAUACUAUUAACAUCUCAUUGGAUUCGGAAAAGCCAGGAAGAAACUUUUUUAAAGUUUUUUACAUUUGAAAAAAUCGACUUUUUAAUUUUUAAAGAUCAUUAAAUAUUUAAUAUUAUAUUCACAAAAAUGAUCAUUUUUGUGGAGUACUGAGACUGGGUUUGUUGUCAAAAAUAGAACACCUUUUGAAUUUAAAUUUCGUUUUUAUUUUGGUUUUGAUUAAGAUUUGAAUUCUCGAAAUCAUUUUUAGUGGAAAUGAUCGGUCAAUCUCAAUUUUUAAGAGACGCAUUUAAGAUAAGUAACGAAAUGCAACAUUUUUAACUUUAAUCCAGGAUUCUAAUAAAGGGCAAAGCUCGUUACUUUUUACAGACAAUCUCAUUAGAACAUUUGAAAGCUGCAGUUUUAAUCGCGAAUCGAAAAUGUUAGUCGCUUCAUUUUUAACAUUUUUCAUCUAUUUUAAGACUUUUUAAAACUCUUUCAAAUUUUCCAUAAGUACUUUGCCACAAUAAUAACAGUAAAACCAUUAUAUUUAACGAAAUUUUAUAAAUAUUUAACUUUUCGAGUUCGUUCGCAAGGCUUAUGAACCGUGUACUCAAAAAUGAUCUGCAAUCGUCACUAGAUACAUCAAGACAAUUUUAAGUUUAAAAACCGAAAAGAGUACAUAUUUAAUAUUGCGGUUCCAAACUUCGAAGGUGACAAUUAAAUGAAGCUGGCAAAAACUCUUUGGAGUUUUCGGCAAUUGAUAUCGAAGAUCUCGCAACAUUUAUCACAGUGCAACAAUACGAUUCACCUUUGAUAGAUCGACUGGCAAAUAGUGUCUUUUUCUAAUAACGACAAUUUUAAAAUCGACCAAAAGGUUGAAAUUCGGUUGAAAUUUAGUCUCUAUGAGUAAAGCAGAGAAAAGGGUUAGAGUUGCUAUCCAUUUUGUUUUAUUCAAAGCGACAAGUUUUCUCAAGGAAACUCUUCUCGAAAAAAUGUUCUCAAUUUAAAAAAAGUUGAAAUUAAUUUUUCAAGCCAAAUCUUGAAAGGCUUUUUUGAUGUCAUUAAAAUUGCUUCAUAAAAAUAUAUUCAAUUUCAGUCAAAUUUUGAAUCGUUUUUGGCAUUUUGUUGAGCCGUUGACUUUGAAAAUCUUAUCUUGAUAAAUCAUCUCAUACAUUACUUCAAUACGGCAUAAAAAUUCAAAUUUAAAACAAGUCCGUGUUACACUAAACAAGAAGUAAAUUAAUGUCAUAAAAGACCCUUUUUAAAUUAUUUUUUAAAAAAUAUAUUCGAUUUUGAUUGCGCUUUCUUUAGUUUUUUUAGCUUUUAAAAUUUACUUCAAUCUUUCUGUGAUCAGGUAUCUAGUCACCAAUACCUUGGGGUAUCUGAAUAGCUCUUGAAGUUUUUUAAAAUUGUUGAAACAUUCAAAUUGAAAUGAAUUCUGAGUCUCUGAAAAAGUUGUUUCGAGAUAUGAAAUUUGUGGUUUUUUGAUGUCAAAAAAGUCCCUUUUUAAAUUAAUUUUUAAAAAAUAUAUUCGAUUUAAAUUGCGCUUUCUUUAGUACUUUUAGCUUUUAAAAUUUACUUCAGUCUUUCUGUGAUCAGGUAUCUAGUCACCAAGACUUGGAAAAUCUGAAUAGCUCUUGAAGCUCAUUAGACAAAUGAGCAUUUCAUAAAACAUUCAGAAGAAUGAGUUCUGGUUCUCUUUUUUGCACAUGGUAUUCCCAAAUUUGAAUGGUUAACUCGAGAUUUGAGGUCUUUUUUUGUGUCAUCAUGCGCGCUCUCUAAAGCUUUUUUAGCUUUUAAAAUUUACUUCAAUCUUUCUGUGAUCAGGUAUCUAGUCACCACGGCUUGGAAUAUCUGACUGUCUCAAGUAAAAUAUUUAAAAUUGUUAAAACAUCCAAGAGGAAAGAGUUCCGAAUCUCAAGCAAUCGACUAAUGUCGCUUAUAUGAAGUUUUUAAAAUUAAAUUUCCUUUCUGACUCAAAGUCAAUCACAGGAAUACCAAUUGUUCGAACAAAGAUUGCAAAUAACUGUUUAAGGUUCACCUUAAUUGCUAUUAAGAUCUCUUUUGUGUGUAAGAGAACGUUUGCAACGACUUAAAAUGAGAGAGGUUCCGGUAUUGUUGCUUGGCAAUCGAAUUGUCCGGACUUGUAACGGUUGCACUUUAGUUGAAUGUUAAAUGCUUAGAAAAUGAAAAAUGAACCAUUUAACGUUUUCAAUGAUUUUUUGUUCCUUCAAUAAGAAACCAUUGAACGGCCAAUAUUGCUGCUAAAAAACUGAUCUCCUGAUAGCGUUGUUUUUUUAUCGUUUGAUGGGUCAGAUGACGAACACAUUUACCAUAUAAACAUAACGUUCUUUUCGACUUCGCCAGCCUAGAGACUGUGAUCAAAGUAAAGAAGAAUUUUAAAUUUAAACAAAAGCUUUUAAUUUCAAAGAAGAUUCGGUUGAAACUAAAAUAUAAUUUGAAAUUUUCAUGUGUUGUUGAAUCUCAAACUAGUGGUUGUUCCUUUUCUUGGACCUUUUCGAUGAUUGUGCCAUUGUACGAUAAUAUUCAAGUGAACCCUUGGAAUAUUUUCAGGAACGUCUUCAUGCGAUUCAAGGAAAAAAUUCAGAUAAGCUCGCUAAAGACCCUAGAUAAACUGUUCUUUUCCCUGUGACUAUUACAAGAUUUAAAUUUUAAAAAAAUGACUUUUAAUUUCCAAUGAAAACUCAUUAAAAUGGGCGAAGUUUAUUAUUUGGAAGUGCUAAUAACUUGAGCAAGAUUUGCUAAACGACUUUUUGAAUUUCUUUUAUUGGUUUAUCUAAUUCCGUUUCUACUGUGAGAGAUUACUAUCAGCGAUAAUGAUUUAUAUUCAAAUUUAUUCCCGUGCUUUAAUCAAAGCAGGUCAAUCGGUCUAGAAAAACAUUUAAAUCUAUUGAUUAUUGCAUGGGUUCUGAAGAUAGCUGAAUGCAAUUGAAAUUUCUUAGCUAUUAGAAGUUCUAAGAUUUUUAAAACGAAAAAAAGUCAUUGGCAUAAUAUUGGGUCAAACUGUUCUAACAUUAACCCUGCCAGUGAUAAAACAAAGUCGAAUCCUACUAAUGUUCAAAAAUAGUCGAAUAUUGUUGACCGAAACAUAAAACUUGAUUGAACGUCUAUUUGGAUAACAUCGAAAAUGUUUUUUUCAAAAGUCUUUUAAGGGUAUAAUAAUUGUUAUAAGAUGCGUUUCCGAAGAUAAAUAAACUUUUGAAGGUUCGUAAAAAAUUACUGAGAUUAGCCCAGUGAUAACUCAUGAAGUCUCUAAACUUGAAAUUUAAAAUUAAAAUUAAAAUUCUAAUGAUUAAAAACUUGAAAAAUUGCACUUUUCAUUUCAUGGACAUUUGUCUUAAAUCUAAAUUUAUUUUGCUGUCGUUUAAAACUACCGAUUGAGGUACAAUAUUCACUGUCUUUCUUGACAAGGAAAUGGAUUUUGUAUUUUUACUCAACAAUAUGUGAAUUCAGAUUUUUAUAUUGAAUUUGCUUACAAAAUAUCUCAGUGACUAGAUUAUUCCUUCAUCAGCUAUCGCUGGGUUAUGAAUUAGUAUUUGUAAAAUUUAAAUUUAAAUGUCGUUUUAAAUAGUAGCAAAAAAGGCAAUUCAGCUGAAGAUUCCGUUUAAGAUUUAGAUUUUGGAAAAGGUUUUUUUAAAAAUUUACUUUUGAAUUGUCUAAUUUUAUUAUUUAUUGCCAUUUAAAUUUCGAGUCUAUCCCGUCUUUUGAACCGCAUUAACACUCGACUGCCAUAAAGGUCUAACAGUCGGUUUGGGUUCGGUAAAAGAUUUUUGCAAGAUUCACACAAUUUUAUGAACCUUAAAGUCAAAAUCGAAAUUCUGUUUCUAUGAAUAUUAAUACUUAUUUUUUUCUCUCCCUCAAUUAGUCGAGGAUUUGAUUUCAUGAAACAUUAAGCUACUAGUGAAGUCCUCAGUAAACUUAUUACACUCCUAACAUUUUCAGCAAUUCUGAUAAAUGAUAGUUGGCUUUUAUGCAAUCCAAAUUUGCAUCUUCUAAGCAAAAAUUGUGUGAAAUUGAAAUGAUUUUGAUGUUGUUUAACAAUUAACUUCAACCGAGAAGACCCUUAAUCCAAACGGUAGAAGAAGCAGUGAUUCAGAAUUAUCUGGUUUUAAAUUUUUCUCAGGUGGAUUUGAAUGUUUUUAACAAAAUGUUCAACAUCAUUAAGGAACGAAUUUAAUUUAUGAGUCGAUUCGACUCACUAUAAAUACUUCAUCAUGUCAGGAUAUAUUAUAUUGAUUUAUUAAUUUCAUUAAAAACCAGUAAACUUUAUCUGGUUAGGAAUCUGAUUGUAGAACCAAAAAUCUUUAAAUGCAUGAUUUUUAACAUUUACGAUGCGUUAUUUUGAAAUUAGACGCUUGGAAUGAUUUAAAAAUGAAAUUUUAAAUUUAAUUUGAAAAAUUAAUUACAUUCUAUGUUUCUGGUUAACUUCAAUAUUUUAUUACAAAUAAAUGCCAUUUGUAAAAGCCGCCCUUUGAUUACAAACUGGUUAACUGUUGUUAGGUAACGGUUUUUUGGGUUGCUUAAUGGCGCCAGAAAACUGUAAGUCAUCUGUUUUCAAUAUGAGAUUUAUUCAUAUUAUUCAUCGUUUCUCAUUAAUCAGAGUUUAAUUUUUUGUGACUCUUUGCUUGAUUUUAUUGUUUGUUUGGAUUAAUACUUGUAUGGAGACGCUGAUUAAUCAAUGUUUUGCUUUGAAUCUUUGAAUCUUCAUGAAGGUAUGGUGUAUACACCUGAUAAAACCUGAUGUUUACCCAGUCUUCUUUUGGAAUAGGAUCUAUUUGUGCGGCGAUAUUUUUUCACUCUUUUUGGAGGCCUUACAUCUGAUACGGUUGAAUCGAUUGAACUAGUUGCACUUCGCCAGACGUAAUCUUGUAUUCCUGAUUUCACCCUCUCCAUUGAACUACUUGUAUAUCCACAUAACAGUAUAAAGGCGAAACAAACUACAAGUAAAAAAACGAGAACGUUUAUACGAACACGGGAUGGCUUCAUUUUUUGAAGCGUCAAAUAUAUGAAUCUCUGUUAUAUUUGCUAAGUGCGGAGCAUAGUUGACCAAGUUUAUCGUUAAUUUUGCUGAUGUGAGUGAAUAUACUGCAAACUUGAUGAAUGUUUUAUCCAUUGACCAGGAUUUUGGUUCACAACUACUGGUGUGAUUUCUUGAUAAAGAUUUGCAUGGAUUUCUUCAUCUAUCAUUUAAUAAUAAUUAGUCGGCAAUUUGCCCAAUGGAAUGACACAAGUUAAACAUUCACACAUUAAAUUACUCCAGUUAUCAAAUAAAGAAUCUUCUCCUUCUUCAAAGUCAAGGAAGAAAGUAGCCAAGCAAAAGUAAUGCUUAUCCUAUUGUUGGAAAGGGUUGGUUUAGCCCUUUCCAUUCAUUGUUAAAGUAGAAAUUGAAGAAAUGAAGACAGUCAAAUAGACAGUCAAGAGAAAGAGGAAAAUAUAUCUCACCAUUUCUCUUUCCUAUUUAGAGACAUAAAUUUCACUAUACAGUCGACUACCUAAAAUUGUCCCUUUAUUUUGCGACGAAAAAAAUGAGCGCGAUUUUCAAUGGUGAUAAAGUUUUAAUAAAAUCAAGUUUAAUUGA